Molecule: long non-coding RNA, 210 nt
Filed under: Ananas comosus (pineapple)
Lineage: Eukaryota; Viridiplantae; Streptophyta; Magnoliopsida; Poales; Bromeliaceae
Description: long non-coding RNA (ACOM_LNC013773)
Source: RNAcentral
AAUAAAAUUACUAUUCUCCACUCUUAAUCCAUUACUAGUAUAGUAAUUCGUGCAAUACAAUGGAUAGAUAAUUAGAAAAAAAUAAAAACAGCGACAAAGAAAGAAAAAACAAUGAUGGAAGAAGAUUAAAUAUCGAACUUAAUUAAUUUAUUAACUAGAUAUCUAUCUUACAAAUUGUAACACACUGAACUUUAGCAAAUUGCAAGGUUC